Molecule: ribosomal RNA, 459 nt
Filed under: uncultured bacterium
Lineage: Bacteria
Description: bacterial SSU rRNA
Rfam family: Bacterial small subunit ribosomal RNA
Source: RNAcentral
UACGGAAGGCAGCAGUGGGGAAUAUUGCACAAUGGGCGAAAGCCCUGAUGCAGCUAUGCCGCGUGUAUGAAGAAGGCCUUAGGGUUGUAAAGUACUUUCAUCGGGGAGGAAAAAACAAAACUAAUAAUUUUAUUUCUUGACGUUACCCGAAAAAGAAGCACCGGCUAACUCCGUGCCAGCAGCCGCGGUAAUACGGAGGGUGCUAGCGUUAAUCAGAAUUACUGGGCGUAAAGAGCACGUAGGUGGUUUUUUUAAAGUCAGAUGUGAAAUCCCUGGGCUUAACCUUAGGAACUGCAUUUUGAAACUGAAAUACUAGAGUAUCGUAGAGGGAGGUAGAAUUCUAGGUGUAGCGGUGAAAUGCGUAGAUAUCUGGAGGAAUACCUGUGGCGAAAGCGGCCUCCUAAACGAAUACUGACACUGAGGUGCGAAAGCGUGGGGAGCAAACAGGGAUUAGAUACC